UGAACGCUGGCGGCGUGCCUAAUACAUGCAAGUCGAACGAGGCCCUUUGUAUUCGUACGAAGGUGUCCUAGUGGCGAACGGGUGAGUAACGCGUUGGUGACCUACCCCAAAGUCUGGGAUAACAGUUCGAAAGGACUGCUAAUACCGGAUGUGGUCAUCGGAUUUAGAAACCGAUGUCUAAAGGAUUUAUUCGCUUUGGGAGGGGCCUGCGUCCCAUCAGCUAGUUGGUAAGGUAACGGCUUACCAAGGCGACGACGGGUAGGGGACCUGAGAGGGUGGCCCCCCACAAUGGAACUGAAACACGGUCCAUACAUCUACGGAUGGCAGCAGUAGGGAAUAUUGCACAAUGGGCGAAAGCCUGAUGCAGCAACGCCGCGUGUGCGAAGAAGGCCUUCGGGUCGUAAAGCACUUUUCUGGGAGAUGAGAAAGGACAGUAUCCCAGGAAUAAGUCUCGGCUAACUAC
This 463-nucleotide ribosomal RNA is filed under the name uncultured bacterium. RNAcentral describes it as "bacterial SSU rRNA". It matches the Rfam family "Bacterial small subunit ribosomal RNA", at positions 30 to 504 of the family's 1533-position model. The record is from RNAcentral.